Molecule: transfer RNA, 71 nt
Filed under: Candidatus Kaiserbacteria bacterium
Lineage: Bacteria; Candidatus Kaiseribacteriota
Also listed under: 3 other names
Description: tRNA-Trp
Rfam family: tRNA
About the family: Transfer RNA (tRNA) molecules are approximately 80 nucleotides in length.
Source: RNAcentral
GGGUCUAUAGUUUAGUGGUAAAACAGCGGUCUCCAAAACCGCCGUCCUCCGUUCGAGUCGGAGUGGACCCG